UACGUAGGGGGCUAGCGUUGUCCGGAAUCAUUGGGCGUAAAGCGCGUGUAGGCGGUCCGGUAAGUCCGCCGUGAAAGUCCAGGGCUCAACCCUGGAAUGCCGGUGGAAACUGUCGGGCUGGAGUCCGGAAGAGGCGAGUGGAAUUCCUGGUGUAGCGGUGAAAUGCGCAGAUAUCAGGAGGAACACCAAUGGCGAAGGCAGCUCGCUGGGACGGUACUGACGCUGAGACGCGAAAGCGUGGGGAGCAAACAGG
Molecule: ribosomal RNA, 253 nt
Filed under: uncultured bacterium
Lineage: Bacteria
Description: partial 16S ribosomal RNA
Rfam family: Bacterial small subunit ribosomal RNA
Source: RNAcentral